This is a non-coding RNA of Letharia columbiana, 105 nucleotides long. The record is from the annotation of a RefSeq genome assembly. Lineage: Eukaryota; Fungi; Ascomycota; Lecanoromycetes; Lecanorales; Parmeliaceae.
ACUCCCGUGGCGCAGUGGUAGCGCGUCGUUCUUAUAUGUGGUCGUUGCACCAAUAUGGCAUCAUUUGCAAUGCGAAUGUCGUGGGUUCGACCCCCACCGGGAGUA